UCCCUGGAGGGCUAGUGGUUAGGCUACAGCACUCUCCCCACUGCAGCCCGGGUGCGAUUCCUGGCCAGGGAA
RNAcentral lists this transfer RNA (72 nucleotides) under Pangasianodon gigas (Mekong giant catfish). Its description in RNAcentral is "tRNA-Glu". Lineage: Eukaryota; Metazoa; Chordata; Actinopteri; Siluriformes; Pangasiidae. The record is from RNAcentral.